This is a long non-coding RNA of Mauremys reevesii (Reeves's turtle), 550 nucleotides long. RefSeq lists it as uncharacterized. The record is from RefSeq and is a predicted model, not a curated record. The transcript has 4 exons. NCBI's taxonomy places the organism in Eukaryota, Metazoa, Chordata, Testudines, Geoemydidae.
GGACUGUAGACAAACUGUAGGGAGCAAGAAGACUCCUGCAGGGCAUUGAGUCUGCAAAGGUGCAAAAAGCAGGAGAAAGCUCUUCAGAACUUUUUGAAAGGUUCCAGUGCGCUGCGGAACUUACAACCUUUUAAGGUUCUCCCAUCCAUAUUGACUACACAUGACACCUACUGAAAACCACAAAAGUACAGAUUUCAAGCUCUUUGGGUCAGGAACUGACUUUUACGAGGGAAGACCUCAUCCUGUACCUCCCCAGCCUUUCAGGCCGGUGUUAUUGGGGGCAACAGUGCAAUGGGGAUAGCUAUGAAAGUGAUUCCAAUUGGGAGUGGAGGGGAUUAAAGCCCACCUUGGAACCGGAGCAGUGAUGGCCAGAGACGAGCACUUCAGGAAAAUCCUCCACAGAUAUGCACCCCUUUCAUGCAUGACAUCAGAAUGCACCUUCUCUCUGCUGCACCCCGCUGCACCAAACCAAGCCAGGCCUAGUGCAGCAAUAAAAGACACAAGAUGGCAUAAGAUACAACUUUAUUAUGAGUUUUGUAUUUUACAAUUU